This 1088-nucleotide long non-coding RNA is filed under the name Brassica napus (rape). RNAcentral describes it as "long non-coding RNA (BNAP_LNC005521)". Lineage: Eukaryota; Viridiplantae; Streptophyta; Magnoliopsida; Brassicales; Brassicaceae. The record is from RNAcentral.
AAGAGGGACAUCGUAUCAUUUCCCAAAUUGUUCAAAAAUUAGUUGAUUAAUCUAUGUUUUUUCACAAGAGAAGUAUUUUUCCUUCUAUUUUCUUCUGUUUAAGAACUUAGAAAAAUAUAACCCUUUCUCUCUCUUCAAAAAUACUCUGCCUUCUCUCAUCAAUCCUCCAUUGUUGAAGCUUGCUCUCCGACUCCGGUUGCUCUCUCAGAGCCGGAGUCGGGUUUAGUUUCUUUGAAUCAUCCUUUUUGGUUUCAAUCGGUUUAGAUCUUCAUGUCUUGUUCUCGUUUUCCUCUUUGGUUGGAUUUCAGAUCUAGAUCUUAUCUUUACCGGGGGAUGAGAGCUUGCAUGUCGUUCUCUGUGUGUGAUAUUGAUCGAUCUAGUUGAAGUGAGUUGGGUUCUGUUUCCCUUCUUUUUGGUCGCAUUAUGAACCUGUUUUUGGGUUAAAUGAUUUGCAUGUUGGCUUUGAACUCUCUUUGGCUCAUUUUGGGUCUCGAUCUUCGUCCUUCUUGAUCUCUCGAGAAUGGCUGAACCCAUUUAUGAGUUGUCUCGCUCCUUGUCAUUUACCAAAAGAUUUGAUCGAGUUCUUAUCUCUCGUCUUGCUUCAUCUCGACGUCUCGUGACGUUCUAUCUCCGUCAACGCAUUCCCGGUUGUAGACUUAAGAACUGAAAUUGUUCUGUCUCCUGGAUCUUGAAAGCUUGAAGCACUGGUCUCUUAAUCGCAUGGAUUAUUCUCUAUAGGAGGAGUCACAAGCCGGAGGUUUUAGCUUUGGAUAGCAUCCUCGCCUUGUCUCGUUCAAAGGGGUUCAUUUGAAGUCAUCGUGCUUUAUUGUUCACUGUUUUGUAAAGGUUCUUUUGUUUGGUUCCUCACUUCUUCUAUUUUAGAUUGGUUAGUAUUAAGGAUGGUUCAUGUUCUUAUCUUUAAUUCCUAUGUUUGGGCUUAGCUUCUCCGUUGUUGGAGCCUUGGACUCUGGAGGUUUUUUAUAAACCUGCCGGCAAAUGUAACCUAAACUGUACUCCACCCGUGUAAUCUCUGUUGGUUAAUAUAAUUAGUGUUAAAAAAAAAUCUAUGUUUUUUCACUUUAAAGGUG